GCUCACAGCUCUCUCCUCACACAGGGCUGAGGUCUCUGGGGAAGGCAGAGCCCUGGUCUAGAAGAAGAUGAGACUGCUGGGUCUUCUCCUGUGCCUGGUGACAGCCCCCCAAGGUGUCCUGUCCCAGGUGCAGCUGCAGGAGUCGGGCCCAGGACUGGUGAAGCCCUCACAGACCCUCUCCCUCACCUGCACUGUCUCUGGGGGCUCACUCAGUAGUGGUUACUACUGGAGCUGGAUCCGCCAGAAACCAGGGAAGGGGCUGGAAUGGAUUGGGAACAUAUAUGGUAUGGAAGUGGUAGUACUUACUACAACCCGUCCCUCAAGAGCCGCACCACCAUCUCCAUAGACACGUCCAAGAACCAGUUCUCCCUGCAGCUGAGCUCCAUGACCACCGAGGACACAGCCAUGUAUUACUGUGCGAGACACAGUGAGAGGAAGUCAGUGUGA
Non-coding RNA from Molossus molossus (Pallas's mastiff bat), 447 nucleotides. NCBI's taxonomy places the organism in Eukaryota, Metazoa, Chordata, Mammalia, Chiroptera, Molossidae. The record is from the annotation of a RefSeq genome assembly.